This is a non-coding RNA of Zonotrichia albicollis (white-throated sparrow), 2828 nucleotides long. Lineage: Eukaryota; Metazoa; Chordata; Aves; Passeriformes; Passerellidae. The record is from RefSeq and is a predicted model, not a curated record.
UAUCUCUGAUGACAAAGCUUUGUAAACCCAUGAUUUUGGAAUCCAUCCAGUCUCCUGGUGCUGCUGGAUGCUCACCCUUCUGCCAAGGACCUCCCAGUGCCCCCCUGUGACCUGGCACCACUCAGCCCUCCUGUCAGUGGAAGCCAGGACCUGGCACCAUGGGCUGUGCACUGCCUGUGUGUGCUGACACACAUCUUUAAUGUAGACAUUAACAUGAUUUCGUGUUAAUUACAUGCAAAUUGAUUAUUAGUAUAUUUAUUGAAUGUUGACAUCAGGGUGACAGUCUUCAAUAAAUAUGUUUUACUAAUCAGUUAGCAUUAAUUAAUAUUGAAAUCCCCUGUAGGUUUAGCAAGUCGGUGAACAUUGGUGAGGCCCCUCUGUUGCUGCCAGUGUUGCUGGAUGUUGGCAGUGUUGCUGGCAGCACUCGGCUGUUCCUGUUCUGCAGCACUGCGAGCACAAGCGGGCCCAGGAGGUCCAGGGGCAGUGGCAGUGCUGGAAGGACAGAUGGACACAUGCCCUGCCCCGAGGGAGAAGCUUCUGGAAAACAUUGCUCUUGGGAGAGCCCCCCAUGCAGCAGGGCCUGCCUGAGGCCAGGGGGCUGCCAGCUUCAGCCAAGGUGCUAGUGGCCAGGCAGCGCUUGCAAGAAGCUCUGGAGACCCCUUUCUCCAGGACACAGGGCUGCUUGUGGGUAUGUCUGAGCAGCAGAAGGAGAAUGCUGCUCUCACCUGCAUGCAGGACCCUUAGUCCCCUGCCAGCAAUGCAGAGGAGUUUGUAUGCUGCAUUUAAACCACCAAGCAGACCAACUCCUAAGCUGCCUGGGCAGCAUUUUCUCUUGCCUCCCCAUCCUUAGCAGGGCAGGAGCCAUACAGUGCCUGCUGACUGUGCCUUCUCUGCAGCAUCCCUGAGGAGUAAAUGGCCAAGGCAGCAGGGAGAGCGGCUCCACGCUGGGGUCAACACUUGAGUUUUGUCAUGCUGAUGCUCCUUGGCUGACAAUUACGAUUCUUCCCUGCUUCCACCUUGUGCAAACACCUUAGAGCUGGAACACCAAGAAAUUAAUAUGCUGAACCCUUAGAGCUGCCCCUGUUCAGACAGAUGGACAGGCUGUGGGGUGCCUGAGACCCUUCUGCUCUGCUCUGAGGACAGCAGACACAGGGAAAAUGCCUGAAGAGCUCAGCACGCAGCUGCAACAGGAGCUGGGUGUUUGGUUGCUGGUUAGAAUAAUUUUGGUCUUGCUCAGCUGCUCUUUGCUUCCCUCACUGCGGGGUCUGACACCCCUCCUGUGAGCAGAGGCAGGUGCCCCAGCCAGCAGGGUUUCUGCUUUCCUGAGCUGGACACGUCUGCCUGCUGCGGGCAAGCAUGUCAAAUCACACCUACCAUAUUGGCUUCCUGUCCCCAGAACAUCAGAUUUUUGCAGCUAAUGUGUGGGGGGUGUCUCCUCCUGCCAAUCCCCACCCCCAGCAGCAUCAGGUCUGUGCUGUUCGGGGUUUUGUUAAGCCGUUUAGUAUUAAUUGAUUUUUUUUUCCAUUUUUUCUUUCUUUCCCUGGGCGGGUCAAUAGCUGGAUGCUCAAGAGCAGAGGAUCUAUCAACUGCAGACCAAGCAGAGGGAGAGGCAGGCAGACCUGGAGCAGAAAUGCAGCCAGAGCAUCAGCUCAGCCAGGACCUGGGGGCCAGCCACCAGCUACGGAAGGGAGCUUGGAGCAGGCCUCUUGCUUUUUCUUGACUCCCACACAGUGCUGCCGUCACUGCUGGCUUGGAAGGAGGCCCCAGAGCUGCUGAUGUGGCUGUCCAGAGGCGCUAUCCCUCUUCCAGCAACUUAGUGAUUGUAAUUGCAAGAACCACCAAUGCCUUGUGUCCUGUGACCAGACCCAAGCAGCCCUUUGCUUUCAUUUGCUCCUUCCAUUUUCCAGCAGAAUUUCUACUUCCUGCUGAUUUCCAUUUCUUGGUUCCUUAGAGAACACAUGACAGGUCCUCCAGAGCUUGUGUAUGCCCUUAACCCACAGAGCCAAAAAACGGAGAUGCAGUUGUCAGAAGCAGCAGUGGGAAUGUGCCGCGAUGGUGUAAAUACACAGCAGCACGAGCAGCGGGCCGGAGGCAGCCCCAGGGACCGCUGCACACCUGCGGGCUCCCUCCUGAGCCCGUCUGCGCCCGACCUGGAGGGCAGUGUUCAAACACAGCCAGGCGAGCCCUGUUGUGGCCGACGCUGCCGGGGCAGCACUGGGGAAUGGGUGAGCCGGUGUUUGACCAGCGGCAGUGUCAGGGGCUGGCUCCUGGGUGACUGGGCUGGGUGGGUCUCCUCACGCACCAACACUCCCCACCACGAGGUCUCCUGGGAACAUGCGGUAGCUGGAGGAGUAGAGCAGGGCAAAGCACUGAUGUUCACUCUGGGAUGUGUCAUGGCCUUUCAGCUUCCACUAGAAAGACAGCAGGGCAGAGCAGGUCCCGACCCAUUAUUGCUACUGUGGCUGUUUCCCCCUUCUGUUUUUACACAUCCAGUUUGUUCUCUCUCCCUUCCCUCUCCCUAGAGCUGCUGUGGUUUUUAAUAAGUAUUUUUCAAGUAGCUGGCUGAGACCCUCGCAAGGAUAAUGAGAUCAUUCGCACCGCAGAAUGCCGAGCCCUGCAAGUCCCGAUUGCUAUCGCUCCCGGUGGACUGCGCCCACGGUGCCCGUAUUUCUGUCGCUGUUCCUCAUCCCAAACACAGCAGCAUGCCCUGGGCAGUACCGGAUGGGAUCGGCCGGGGUACGGCUCCCUGCCAACACCAUCAAUUGUCACUGGAACCGCUCAGAAAUAACCUUUAAGGCUUAUUAAGAUUCUACCGACGGAGACGUUGA